CAGUAGCCACGGUAAUACGAAGGGUGCAAGCGUUAAUCGGAAUUACUGUGCGUGAAGCGUGCGUAGGCGGUGAGUUAAGUCUGCUGUGAAAUCCCCGGGCUCAACCUGGGAAUGGCAGUGGAUACUGGCUCGCUAGAGUGUGUCAGAGGAUGGUGGAAUUCCCGGUGUAGCGGUGAAAUGCGUAGAGAUCGGGAGGAACAUCAGUGGCGAAGGCGGCCAUCUGGGACAACACUGACGCUGAGGCACGAAAGCGUGGGGAGCAAACAGGAUUAGAUACCCCCGUAGUCCCUGUCUCUUAUAC
RNAcentral lists this ribosomal RNA (301 nucleotides) under uncultured bacterium. Its description in RNAcentral is "partial 16S ribosomal RNA". It matches the Rfam family "Bacterial small subunit ribosomal RNA", at positions 509 to 807 of the family's 1533-position model. The record is from RNAcentral.